RNAcentral lists this ribosomal RNA (169 nucleotides) under uncultured Clostridium sp. RNAcentral's name for it is "partial 16S ribosomal RNA". It matches the Rfam family "Bacterial small subunit ribosomal RNA", at positions 338 to 524 of the family's 1533-position model. The record is from RNAcentral. Lineage: Bacteria; Bacillati; Bacillota; Clostridia; Eubacteriales; Clostridiaceae.
CCUACGGGAGGCAGCAGUGGGGAAUAUUGCACAAUGGGCGAAAGCCUGAUGCAGCAACGCCGCGUGAGCGAUGAAGGCCUUCGGGUUGUAAAGCUCUGUCUUCGCUGACGAUAAUGACGGUAAGCGAGGAGGAAGCCACGGCUAACUACGUGCCAGCAGCCGCGGUAAU